RNAcentral lists this ribosomal RNA (468 nucleotides) under uncultured bacterium. RNAcentral describes it as "partial 16S ribosomal RNA". It matches the Rfam family "Bacterial small subunit ribosomal RNA", at positions 28 to 507 of the family's 1533-position model. The record is from RNAcentral.
GACGAACGCUGGCGGCGUGCUUAACACAUGCAAGUCGAACGGAAAGGCCCUGCUUUUGUGGGGUGCUCGAGUGGCGAACGGGUGAGUAACACGUGAGUAACCUGUCCUUGACUUUGGGAUAACUUAAGGACACUGGGGCUAAUACCGGAUAGGAGCUCCUGCUGCAUGGUGGGGGUUGGAAAGUUUCGGCGGUUGGGGAUGGACUCGCGGCUUAUCAGCUUGGUGGUGGGGUAGUGGCUUACCAAGGCUAUGAGGCGUAGCCGGGCUGAGAGGGUGAGCGGCCAAGCUGGGACGGAGAUGCGGCCCAGACUACUACGGGAGGCAGCAGAGGAGAAGGGUGCACAAUGGGCGGAAGGCUGAUGCAGCAACGCAGCGUGCGGGAAGACGGCCUGCGGGUUGGAAACCGCUUUCGCCUGUGACGAAGCGUGAGUGACGGUAAUGGGUAAAGAAGCACCGGCUAACUACGUG